RNAcentral lists this ribosomal RNA (504 nucleotides) under uncultured bacterium. Its description in RNAcentral is "partial 16S ribosomal RNA". It matches the Rfam family "Bacterial small subunit ribosomal RNA", at positions 30 to 523 of the family's 1533-position model. The record is from RNAcentral.
AUUGAACGCUGGCGGCAUGCCUUACACAUGCAAGUCGAACGGCAGCAUGGAGAGCUUGCUCUCUGAUGGCGAGUGGCGAACGGGUGAGUAAUGCAUCGGAACGUACCGUGUAAUGGGGGAUAACGUAGCGAAAGUUACGCUAAUACCGCAUACGACCUGAGGGUGAAAGCAGGGGAUCGCAAGACCUUGCGUUAUACGAGCGGCCGAUGUCAUAUUAGCUAGUUGGUGAGGUAAGGGCUCACCAAGGCGACGAUCUGUAGCGGGUCUGAGAGGAUGAUCCCCCACAAUGGGACUGAGACACGGCCCAGACUCCGACGGGAGGCAGCAGUGGGGAAUUUUGGACAAUGGGGGCAACCCUGAUCCAGCCAUGCCGCGCGAGUGAAGAAGGCCUUCGGGUUGUAAAGCUCUUUCGGCCGGGAAGAAAUCGCACAGGCUAAUACUCUGUGUGGAUGACGGUACCGGCAUAAGAAGCACCGGCUAACUACGUGCCAGCCGCCGCGGUAA